This 469-nucleotide ribosomal RNA is filed under the name bacterium enrichment culture clone ALO1_GLFRUDD03GE963. RNAcentral's name for it is "bacterial SSU rRNA". It matches the Rfam family "Bacterial small subunit ribosomal RNA", at positions 9 to 474 of the family's 1533-position model. The record is from RNAcentral.
GAGUUUGAUCGUGGCUCAGAUUGAACGCUGGCGGCAUGCCUUACACAUGCAAGUCGAACGGCAGCACGGGAGCUUGCUCCUGGUGGCGAGUGGCGAACGGGUGAGUAAUGCAUCGGAACGUAUCCUGGAGUGGGGGAUAACGUAGCGAAAGUUACGCUAAUACCGCAUAUUCUGUGAGCAGGAAAGCGGGGGACCUUCGGGCCUCGCGCUCUUGGAGCGGCCGAUGUCGGAUUAGCUAGUUGGUGGGUAAUGGCUCACCAAGGCGACGAUCCGUAACUGGUCUGAGAGGAUGAUCAGUCACACUGGAACUGAGACACGGUCCAGACUCCUACGGGAGGCAGCAGGUGGGGAAUAUUGGACAAUGGGCGAAAGCCUGAUCCAGCCAUGCCGCGUGUGUGAAGAAGGUCUUCGGAUUGUAAAGCACUUUAAGUGGGAGGAGGCAGUAAGUUAAUACCUUGCUGUUUUGACG